This 391-nucleotide ribosomal RNA is filed under the name uncultured bacterium. RNAcentral describes it as "bacterial SSU rRNA". It matches the Rfam family "Bacterial small subunit ribosomal RNA", at positions 29 to 446 of the family's 1533-position model. The record is from RNAcentral.
AACGAACGCUGGCGGCAUGCCUAACACAUGCAAGUCGAACGAGACCUUCGGGUCUAGUGGCGCACGGGUGCGUAACGCGUGGGAAUCUACCCUUGGGUUCGGAAUAACUCAGAGAAAUUUGAGCUAAAUACCGGAUGAUGUCGCAAGACCAAAGAUUUAUCGCCCAAGGAUGAGCCCGCGUAGGAUUAGCUUGUUGGUGAGGUAAAAAGCUCACCAAGGCGACGAUCCUUAGCUGGUCUGAGAGGAUGAUCAGCCACACUGGGACUGAGACACGGCCCAGACUCCUACGGGAGGCAGCAGUGGGAAUAUUGGACAAUGGGCGAAAGCCUGAUCCAGCAAUGCCGCGUGAGUGAUGAAGGCCUUAGGGUUGUAAAGCUCUUUUACCCGGGAU